Dallia pectoralis (Alaska blackfish) is the source of this 75-nucleotide non-coding RNA. NCBI's taxonomy places the organism in Eukaryota, Metazoa, Chordata, Actinopteri, Esociformes, Umbridae. The record is from the annotation of a GenBank genome assembly.
GACCUCGUGGCGCAGUAACGGUAGCGUGUCUGACUCCAGAUCAGAAGGUUGCGUGUUCAAAUCACGUCUGGGUCA